GAUGAACGCUGGCGGCGUGCCUAAUACAUGCAAGUCGAGCGAACAGAUAAGGAGCUUGCUCCUUUGACGUUAGCGGCGGACGGGUGAGUAACACGUGGAUAACCUACCUAUAAGACUGGGAUAACUUCGGGAAACCGGAGCUAAUACCGGAUAACAUAUUGAACCGCAUGGUUCAAUAGUGAAAGGCGGCUUUGCUGUCACUUAUAGAUGGAUCCGCGCCGUAUUAGCUAGUUGGUAAGGUAACGGCUUACCAAGGCAACGAUACGUAGCCGACCUGGGAGGGUGAUCGGCCACACUGGAACUGAGACACGGUCCAGACUCCUACGGGAGGCAGCAGUAGGGAAUCUUCCGCAAUGGGCGAAAGCCUGACGGAGCAACGCCGCGUGAGUGAUGAAGGUCUUCGGAUCGUAAAACUCUGUUAUCAGGGAAGAACAAAUGUGUAAGUAACUGUGCACAUCUUGACGGUACCUGAUCAGAAAGCCACGGCUAACUACGUG
RNAcentral lists this ribosomal RNA (497 nucleotides) under uncultured bacterium. RNAcentral's name for it is "partial 16S ribosomal RNA". It matches the Rfam family "Bacterial small subunit ribosomal RNA", at positions 28 to 507 of the family's 1533-position model. The record is from RNAcentral.